GCAAGAUUAUAAAUUUGUAACCCAGUCCUCUUCAAAAGAUUAUAGGUAGGCCAACUUAUAGUUCUUCGUAUAAUACCAUUCAGUCUUAUUUGGAGUCCAGUAACCCGACAAACCCAAGGACACCGGCCGAGUGUGCAUAGACAACGCACAGUUGGAGCCGAUUGAAGUGGGUACUUGAGUUAAGCAUGAAUAAAUACAUGUACGGAAGAAUGCUUGCAGUCUCACACAAUACAUAAGUUACCUAAAAUAUAUGUGUUAAGAAAGAGAUAAAAGGAAAGUGAUUAUUUUUUAUCUUAUUUUAUCAAUGUUCACUACAUUUUCAUAUGUGGUUUUCCGUUCGUUUGCAAUGAGGGCCUAUUUAACAGAAUUUUGGAGCACAAAAUGUUAAUCAGUUUAAAAAUAGACUAGACAAGCACAUCACAUCUACAACUCGGCUAUGAUUACAGUAAAAUGAUCACUGGAUACAGGCUAUAUCAGUUUUUAACUGCCUGCCUGCUUAUUUAAUAAUAAUAUUAAAAUUAAAAGGUACAUGCCACUUAUUUAAUUGUUCUUAUAACGAAAUUCUAUCCAAUCUAUUUAUACACCAACACAUAGUUGUGGCUAAUGUGGAGUAAAAAAUAUAUCUGCCAUAUAUGUUAAGUGUCUCCCAUGAUUCCCAUAUAAUUACCAUGAAGACAUGUAUUUAUAAUCCUUGUUUAUUCAAAGAUAUUUUUAUUGAACUAUGGAAGUAUAUCUAAUUAAGUACUAACUGUCAAUCAAUCGUUAUCAAGAACAAUAGUUAUUGUCUCCGUAUGAUAAGUUGAACAUACUGUAGGAAUCCGACAAGUCUGUACAGGCGUUCGGACGAUGACAUGGCAUGGACACGCUAAAUGGUUGUGCAGACAAAAAAAACACCUCUGGGAAUUUGCACAAGUGUUUUUACAGAGUUCAUAAUAAACAUGCGAUAUCUACCAUUUAUAAUUUACAUGAUAGUAAACAGAAUCCAAAUGUGACAGAGAUGUAUGCUGUUUUUAUUCCACACAUUGAUACGCCUUUCCAGUUCAUAUUUUGGUAGUAAAAUUAUAGUUCAUUUUUUUAUUUGAUCUGUUUGCUAGAGAUACAAUAGCGAACAUUGAUAGA
Molecule: long non-coding RNA, 1119 nt
Organism: Leguminivora glycinivorella
Lineage: Eukaryota; Metazoa; Arthropoda; Insecta; Lepidoptera; Tortricidae
Exons: 3
Source: RefSeq, a predicted model, not a curated record